Molecule: long non-coding RNA, 195 nt
Filed under: Anas zonorhyncha (Eastern spot-billed duck)
Lineage: Eukaryota; Metazoa; Chordata; Aves; Anseriformes; Anatidae
Description: lncRNA (ENSAZOG00000012926.1)
Source: RNAcentral
GAACCUAAUGGUAUAUGAGCCCCAGGUAUGGCAUCAGAGAGCUCAUUCUGCCUGGGCUGCUUCUUGGGGAGCUGGAUCACCCUGACAGGCUGAACGGUAACACAAGCCCGAAUUGACCCUGAAAGCAGGCCCAACCCCUUGAUUGAAGGUGUUUGCCUAUUAUGAUCCAGCUACGUGGGCAGAAGAUGGAUCCUG